This 374-nucleotide ribosomal RNA is filed under the name uncultured organism. RNAcentral describes it as "partial 16S ribosomal RNA". It matches the Rfam family "Bacterial small subunit ribosomal RNA", at positions 527 to 896 of the family's 1533-position model. The record is from RNAcentral.
GUAGGGGGCGAGCGUUGCUCGGAUUUACUGGGCGUAAAGAGCGCGUAGGCGGCCAGGUAAGUCCGGUGUGAAAUCCCUCGGCUCAACCGAGGACCCGCAUCGGAAACUACUUGGCUUGAGUCCAGGAGAGGAGGGUGGAAUUCCCGGUGUAGCGGUGAAAUGCGUAGAGAUCGGGAGGAACACCUGUGGCGAAGGCGGCCCUCUGGACUGGUACUGACGCUGAGGCGCGAAAGCUGGGGGAGCGAACGGGAUUAGAUACCCCGGGUAGUCCCAGCCGUAAACGAUGGGCACUAGGUGUGGGAGGUAUUGACCCCCCUUCCGUGCCGCAGCUAACGCAUUAAGUGCCCCGCCUGGGGAGUACGGCCGCAAGGUUG